UGGUGAGCCGAGUGUAAAACCAACGUGUGUAAGGGUUCGAUUGUGAUCCCGGAAAAACAAUCGGGGUGGUUCUAGUCGGUAAGCCUGGGAAAACCGACCGAGUUCGUUGUGAGCUCGUAAAACAACAAGUUUGGUUGUGAGCUUGGAAAACAACCGGCUGUAAUCCAAGAGGUUAUAGUGAAUUCCCAAGUGAGGCGUGGGGAGUGGACGUAGGAGCAAGGGUUAGCUCCGAACCACUAUAAACAUCGUGUUUGUGAUUGCUUGUCUCUCUUUCUCUCAUUCUC
RNAcentral lists this long non-coding RNA (284 nucleotides) under Phoenix dactylifera (date palm). RNAcentral's name for it is "long non-coding RNA (PDAC_LNC021899)". The record is from RNAcentral. Lineage: Eukaryota; Viridiplantae; Streptophyta; Magnoliopsida; Arecales; Arecaceae.